RNAcentral lists this ribosomal RNA (452 nucleotides) under Acinetobacter schindleri. RNAcentral's name for it is "bacterial SSU rRNA". It matches the Rfam family "Bacterial small subunit ribosomal RNA", at positions 1 to 455 of the family's 1533-position model. The record is from RNAcentral. Lineage: Bacteria; Pseudomonadati; Pseudomonadota; Gammaproteobacteria; Moraxellales; Moraxellaceae.
AAACUGAAGAGUUUGAUCAUGGCUCAGAUUGAACGCUGGCGGCAGGCUUAACACAUGCAAGUCGAGCGGGGAAAGGUAGCUUGCUACCUGACCUAGCGGCGGACGGGUGAGUAAUGCUUAGGAAUCUGCCUAUUAGUGGGGGACAACGUUCCGAAAGGAACGCUAAUACCGCAUACGCCCUACGGGGGAAAGCAGGGGAUCUUCGGACCUUGCGCUAAUAGAUGAGCCUAAGUCGGAUUAGCUAGUUGGUGGGGUAAAGGCCUACCAAGGCGACGAUCUGUAGCGGGUCUGAGAGGAUGAUCCGCCACACUGGGACUGAGACACGGCCCAGACUCCUACGGGAGGCAGCAGUGGGGAAUAUUGGACAAUGGGCGCAAGCCUGAUCCAGCCAUGCCGCGUGUGUGAAGAAGGCCUUUUGGUUGUAAAGCACUUUAAGCGAGGAGGAGGCUCCU